UGGGGAAUUUUGGACAAUGGGCGAAAGCCUGAUCCAGCCAUGCCGCGUGAGUGAAGAAGGCCUUCGGGUUGUAAAGCUCUUUCAGCUGGAAAGAAAACGCUCGGGAUAAUACCCCGGGCGGAUGACGGUACCAGCAGAAGAAGCACCGGCUAACUACGUGCCAGCAGCCGCGGUAAUACGUAGGGUGCGAGCGUUAAUCGGAAUUACUGGGCGUAAAGCGUGCGCAGGCGGUUAUGUAGGACAGAUGUGAAAUCCCCGGGCUCAACCUGGGAACUGCGUUUGUGACUGCAUAACUAGAGUACGGCAGAGGGAGGUGGAAUUCCACGUGUAGCAGUGAAAUGCGUAGAGAUGUGGAGGAACACCGAUGGCGAAGGCAGCCUCCUGGGCCAGUACUGACGCUCAUGCACGAAAGCGUGGGGAGCAAACA
This 427-nucleotide ribosomal RNA is filed under the name uncultured prokaryote. Its description in RNAcentral is "bacterial SSU rRNA". It matches the Rfam family "Bacterial small subunit ribosomal RNA", at positions 355 to 774 of the family's 1533-position model. The record is from RNAcentral.